This is an RNA transcript of Phlebotomus papatasi, 4529 nucleotides long. RefSeq lists it as uncharacterized. The record is from RefSeq and is a predicted model, not a curated record. The transcript is spliced from 5 exons. Lineage: Eukaryota; Metazoa; Arthropoda; Insecta; Diptera; Psychodidae.
CUUGGGAGCCAAAUGGGAAGUUUUUGUACAAAUUCCUGGACAAUAGAUUGCAAAUUUGUGAAAAUUAUCCUCCCAAAAUCAUCAUAAAACGUGUGAUAUUAGUGAAAUAGUUGAAUUAACUGCACAGGUACUGUGAAAACCCCCUAAAACUGUGCUUGAAUCUGUCCCCAAUAAUUAUCGAUUUACCUUAUGUUGGGUCACAGGGAAAAAAGGCAUAAUUUAAUUGGUGAAAACAAGGUGAAAAAUGUCGUAAUACCCUCCAAAUUUGUCAUAUUCAUUGUCUGAGAACAAUAAAUCAGGCUGUUAAGUGGGGAAAAGGGGAAAAGAAGUGCGUGAAAAGUACUCUGGGGGGCAUUUUAAUGCAUCCAGUUGGUUGAGAGGGAAGUAGUGACUUGAUUGUCCGGAAAAGAAAGACUUAAUGCUGCCCAGACGGACAACCUGGUAGAUGUACUUAGGAGAAUAAAAGGUCUGAAGAAAAUGUCUAAUCCCAUUCCACCACUUGUCUGUGACACACCACCUCCCAUUGAUGAUGACUUUGAGCCCUUUGACGAUGAUUUUGGGGCCUUCGAGGGAGCUGAAGAGACAAUAUCUCCCCGGGAGGAGAAAUUGUCUACAAGUGAUGGGAAGUUUGAUCUUCCCGUUCCGGAAAUUCCAAAUGUGGUGGAACCCUUGGGAGUAGAUUUGCCUAUUAGGAGAGAAGAACCUCUGGGGGAGUCCGUAGAAUCUCCAAAGGAAUCCAAGGAGGAUAUUCUCGAGGAGAGUAGUGAGAAAAGUAGAAAUAGUGAGAUUCCGGGGGAAGAAGUUCUUCCGGAACAGCAGGAACUGCGUCUGAGUGAUGAUGUCACGGUUAAAAGGUGCGAAAGUCCCCCAUCUUUGGUCCUCUCGGAAGACUUCAGUUGCUUCCCAGAGGACGUCCAAGCUGAAGACAAUAGCAAUUCUGGUGAUGAAGUAUCCCUGCCAUCCUUGCAUCUCGAUUCGGGUGGAGUGUCUAAGAGUGUGACACCCACAUUCACUCCACACCUCGCCGUGCCAGACAAUAUCGACAGCAACUUUGCCAUCUCCGAAGAUGACAAAGUGGGUCACGACGACGAAACUGAGGAGAAUUUUGAUGAUUUUGCCGAAUUCUCAAGUGCUCCAGUUACGGAUGAUUUGGCCAGAUUGCAAAUAAAUCAAGAGCCUGCUCAGGAAAUCCCCCAAGAAUUUGGUGAAUUCUCAUCAUCAGCGACAGCAGCAGAAAGUGUCAGUAUUCCCAAUGAGGUGAUAGACUUUGUAGCGGAUUUUAGUCAAUUUGACGCCGCCUCGGAAGUUCCGGCAAAUGUGGUUGUGAGUGACAGUGAAAAUCAAUCAACGAGAGACAAUCAGCCCGAGGAUGAUGAUGAUGAUGAUGAUGAAUUUGGGGAUUUUAGUGAUUUUCAGCAAACAGAAGCAGCAACGGAAGCUGUGAUAGAUACCACCAAUUUAAAUAGUCAAUUCCAAUCUGCACUCAAUUUUAUGUUUCCCAAAGUACCCAAUCCCGAAGAGGAGGAGGAGGAGGAGCAGGAUGCCACUGGAGAUGGCAAGAUUGACACGAAAUUCGUCCAGCAGAUCCAAAUGAUGGAGGAAUUGAGGGAUUUCGAAGCGUCCAAGGCACUUCAGUAUCAAUGGCUGAAUUCGACUUCGAAUCAAUACCUAAUCCGAUCGCUUGGCAUUGAUUCCCGGAAUAUUCUCUACGGAGGAAAGUGGAAUAGUUCAAUGCCACGAUUUGCUGCAAAUUUGGGCUUUAGUCCACUGCAACCGAUGAAGCCUGGUCCUGGUGCAUCAUCCACCUCCUCAAGUGCACCAAAUCAGCAGCGCGAUGGGAGUGAAAUGGUGGCUUUACCUGCUACUGGAGGAGGAGGAGGAGUAUCUGAGGUGCCAGCAGCUCAAUUUGACUGGACAUCUUCGGGUUUGGUGAAUCCUCUUGAUGGCGCCCCAAAGGUCCUACCGAAAUCAGACGAUCCAAAAGAUCCGAAAGAGCAGCCUGAGCUUGCUGCGACGACCACGUCUGCAGCUCCAGUUGCAGCAGCCAGUGACUCAUCUGAGUCACAAUCAGACGACAUCCACGUGGCGAAGGAAGUGAGUGGGGGAAGUGUGCGCCCAGGGGCCACAAAUAUCCUGCCACAGUCCUUCAGUCAACCCCUCAGGGAGACACACAUUUUCACCCCGAGCAAAUCCAGCAAUCCCGUGUCGCGCGAGGUAAGUGACCACGCAUCAGUUGCUGAGAGUAAGAUUGUUGUGAAGGAGUACAGGGAUGUUGAGUAUAAUCCUGAGAAGGUGGCACGUGUUGAUGAUGAUGAUUUUUCGGACUUUACGGAAUUCAAGGGUUCAUCUGGGGUGGAAGAAGUUGGAGUUGGAAAGAAAGUUCCAACAAUAGAAUCACCAUAUCGUAUUGUUGACAAAGUUGUGGAUUUCACGAAGCCAACUUUUGGUGUGUCUCCCACGGAGGAGAUGGUCAAUGGGAGGGGUAAUAAAAUGAAGGGUGAUCAGGGUGAGGAGGAUGACUUCUGUGAUUUUCAAUCAGUAACACCACAACAUUCCACAAAAAAUAGUCAAACAAUAGCACCCAUUCUGCAGCCACUGAAUGUGAUGAAAUUGCCCGAGAGUACACCAAAAAUUGCCUGGCCAAGUCCUGGUAUAAAUCCCGAUGAGAUGGCACGAUUGGAAGCAAUUUUUCCACAAAAGAGAAGUGCAUCGUUGCCAUUGUCCGAGAAGGUGGCCAUAAUUGAGACAAAAACCACGGAAAAGAGUAAAGAUGACGAUGAAUGGUCGGAUUUUGUGUCAGGUAACAACAUAUCAUCUACGUCCAAUCGGGAUGAUGAUUGGACGGAUUUUAUGAGUGGAACACCAUCAGCGCCACCAGGAUCAUCACAGAAAUCCCUUCAGCAAGGACCAAAUUUUUCAUCAUGGACCACACCACAAUUGCCACCACCUCAAUUUACAGCCUGGCAUCACAGUAACAUCUUCAGUCAGCCUCCUCAAUAUGGGCCAGGCGGUGUGCAAAAGGCAACAGUGGCACCACAAAUGAUCAAUAACAAUCACUUAAGCAAGGGAAAUGGACAAAUCAAUGGUUUUCCCCUAGUUCCACCUUCACUGUCCACCAUUUCGACUGGCAAUGCAAUGUAUCAGCGACCAAGGAGACCACAAACUGAUACACCGAGUAUUUCAGUGAUUCCGGACAUGAGUUUCCGGGCACCAAAGUCCCUGAUUCAGCUUCCGCGUUCGAAUUAUGCCAAGAAAUGAUUUUUGGAGUGCGAUCAGACGGCAAUGGGCGAUGUGUCCAUGUGAAGUCUGAUCGCUUGGGUAUUAGGGGAACUUCUCUGGGAAGAGGCUGCAAAAGUGGUGCCCCAGUUUCCCCUAUACUUUUUGCAGAGCAGACCUUUUUUGUGUGUCGAGUCCAUCCUCAAGGAAAGAAGAAAUAUAUUGUGAAAUUAAAGAGAUCACGCAUUACUUAAAAACUAUUAUAUAUUUUACAAUAACACACAGAGAAAAAAUUAUGAUCUUUUAUAUCUCAAUUCUUUCUGUUUUUGUUUCAUUUUUUUUCAAUCUUUGUAAUAAAAGAAAAUGCAUAAAAUGUGAGUCUUGUGAAAGCAAAAUGAGCUAGAAAUUCAACCAAGCAGUGUGUAAAUUAGUUGGCAGAAAGAUAUUGAAGAAAGAAAAAAAAACAGCGUUAAAAAGAAAUUUGUAUAAUGAAAGGAUGUAAAUAUACUUACAAUAAAUGUUAUUUAUGUAAAAAGGAAAACUGUUUUUUGGGUGUUUUAUUGUACAAAAAACCAUUUAUUCUCAGUUUUGUUUAACAUUAUAAAUUUGCAAUUAAUGGAACAGAUUAGAGUCAUUUUACAAAGUUGCUCUUUUAUUUUCUUCUCCUUUCUCUUUUUUUUCAUUUCUUAAUUCAAGACACGGACAAAAUGGGGAGAAUAGAGAGGGGGACUUAAAAUAGGAAAGGAUGCCUUAAAAGUAAGUGAUUAAAAUAUCUUUUUUUCUCGGUAAAAUUUUUAUCGUCACUUUGCAUUUUAAUUAAGAGAAAUAUCCUAAAUUACACAUUUAUUUAUUUUUUUUACAUUUCCCGUAAACUACAUUAUUUUCUUAUGUUUUUUUUCUCCUCUUUUUACUCACGUCUCCAAAGUUUCUAGCAAUUUUUUUUUGCGCCUUCGAGCGCCAAUUACAAUUUUUUUUAAGAAAUAGAUCAAAAUAGAGUGAAAUAGAUCAGAGAAUGUUUUGCAUGAUUGGUGUAUUUUUUUCUUUUUUAAAAUCGUUUUUUUUUAGAUGAAGAAAUGUCGUGCUAGUUGCAAUAUAUACGAAUGCAUUACAAUUAUUAUUUUGUUUUUUAAAUUCUUCUCCCAAUGAUUUUAUUAAUUAAUCUUUGUCACAUUGAUAUUUUUCUUCUUCAACUCUUGAAUAUUUUUUUUUAUAAAGAUUUUCUUUCCGAGAAGGUACCACAAAAUGUCCCAAAACUGUUCAUGUCCUUAAAACAAACAUAUUACAAAUUGGUUCGGUUUAUCUUAAAUAUUUUU